GAAACCUAUGCUGUGUCAAAUAUUUAAUCACAAUCCAAAUGCAAAGCUGUAUCAAGCUUGAAUGUUGUGUCCAUACUUGCCCCAACUGUUCAGGGUUCGACCUCUGCGGUCGUAUCAAGCUGCGCCCUGCGGAGCAUUUUAUUGUAAGUUACUAUUUAAAAAUGCUGAUUAAGGAAUAUUAAUUUUAGACAUGAUUAUGUAUGUCAUUUUCUAUUUUAAGACUUUUAUGAUGUAUUUAAAUGAGUAAUUAUGGUUGCAAACUCCAUUGGAAAUUUGAAUUGAGAUUAUGACCAUAUCUUGAGGGAAAGAAUUUUUUUUUU
This is a long non-coding RNA of Mytilus californianus (California mussel), 320 nucleotides long. RefSeq lists it as uncharacterized. The record is from RefSeq and is a predicted model, not a curated record. The transcript has 2 exons. NCBI's taxonomy places the organism in Eukaryota, Metazoa, Mollusca, Bivalvia, Mytilida, Mytilidae.